RNAcentral lists this ribosomal RNA (496 nucleotides) under Nitzschia sp. RCC5343. Its description in RNAcentral is "SSU rRNA". It matches the Rfam family "Eukaryotic small subunit ribosomal RNA", at positions 645 to 1143 of the family's 1831-position model. The record is from RNAcentral. Lineage: Eukaryota; Bacillariophyta; Bacillariophyceae; Bacillariales; Bacillariaceae.
GUGGCUGUCGCGUGCGACCCGACACCUAGUGUUGGUGUUUGCUUGCGUCGCCAUCCUUGGGUGGAACCUGUGUGGCAUUAGGUUGUCGUGCAGGGGAUGCCCAUCGUUUACUGUGAAAAAAUUAGAGUGUUCAAAGCAGGCUUAUGCCGUUGAAUAUGUUAGCAUGGAAUAAUAAGAUAGGACCUUGGUACUAUUUUGUUGGUUUGCGCACCAAGGUAAUGAUUAAUAGGGACAGUUGGGGGUAUUCGUAUUCCAUUGUCAGAGGUGAAAUUCUUGGAUUUUUGGAAGACGAACUACUGCGAAAGCAUUUACCAAGGAUGUUUUCAUUAAUCAAGAACGAAAGUUAGGGGAUCGAAGAUGAUUAGAUACCAUCGUAGUCUUAACCAUAAACUAUGCCGACAAGGGAUUGGCGGAGUUUCGUUUUGUCUCCGUCAGCACCUUAUGAGAAAUCACAAGUCUUUGGGUUCCGGGGGGAGUAUGGUCGCAAGGCUGAAAC